GACGAACGCUGGCGGCGUGCUUAACACAUGCAAGUCGAACGGAAAGGCCCUGCUUUUGUGGGGUGCUCGAGUGGCGAACGGGUGAGUAACACGUGAGUAACCUGCCCUUGACUUUGGGAUAACUUCAGGAAACUGGGGCUAAUACCGGAUAGGAGCUCCUGCUGCAUGGUGGGGGUUGGAAAGUUUCGGCGGUUGGGGAUGGACUCGCGGCUUAUCAGCUUGUUGGUGGGGUAGUGGCUUACCAAGGCUUUGACGGGUAGCCGGCCUGAGAGGGUGACCGGCCACAUUGGGACUGAGGUACGGCCCAGACUUCUACGGGAGGCAGGAGUGGGGAAUAUUGCACAAUGGGCGGAAGCCUGAUGCAGCAACGCCGCGUGCGGGAUGACGGCCUUCGGGUUGUAAACCGCUUUCGCCUGUGACGAAGCGUGAGUGACGGUAAUGGGUAAAGAAGCACCGGCUAACUACGUG
This 468-nucleotide ribosomal RNA is filed under the name uncultured bacterium. RNAcentral describes it as "partial 16S ribosomal RNA". It matches the Rfam family "Bacterial small subunit ribosomal RNA", at positions 28 to 507 of the family's 1533-position model. The record is from RNAcentral.